UACGAAGGGGGCUAGCGUUGCUCGGAAUCACUGGGCGUAAAGCGCACGUAGGCGGAUCUUUAAGUCAGGGGUGAAAUCCCGAGGCUCAACCUCGGAACUGCCUUUGAUACUGGGGAUCUCGAGUCCGGGAGAGGUGAGUGGAACUGCGAGUGUAGAGGUGAAAUUCGUAGAUAUUCGCAAGAACACCAGUGGCGAAGGCGGCUCACUGGCCCGGAACUGACGCUGAGGUGCGAAAGCGUGGGGAGCAAACAGG
Molecule: ribosomal RNA, 253 nt
Filed under: uncultured bacterium
Lineage: Bacteria
Description: partial 16S ribosomal RNA
Rfam family: Bacterial small subunit ribosomal RNA
Source: RNAcentral